GAUGAACGCUGGCGGCGUGCCUAAUACAUGCAAGUCGAGCGAACGGACGAGAAGCUUGCUUCUCUGAUGUUAGCGGCGGACGGGUGAGUAACACGUAGAUAACCUACCUAUAAGACUGGGAUAACUUCGGGAAACCGGAGCUAAUACCGGAUAAUAUUUUGAACCGCAUGGUUCAAAAGUGAAAGACGGUCUUGCUGUCACUUAUAGAUGGAUCCGCGCUGCAUUAGCUAGUUGGUAAGGUAACGGCUUACCAAGGCAACGAUGCAUAGCCGACCUGAGAGGGUGAUCGGCCACACUGGAACUGAGACACGGUCCAGACUCCUACGGGAGGCAGCAGUAGGGAAUCUUCCGCAAUGGGCGAAAGCCUGACGGAGCAACGCCGCGUGAGUGAUGAAGGUCUUCGGAUCGUAAAACUCUGUUAUUAGGGAAGAACAUAUGUGUAAGUAACUGUGCACAUCUUGACGGUACCUAAUCAGAAAGCCACGGCUAACUACGUGCCAGCAGCCGCGGUAAUACGUAGGUGGCAAGCGUUAUCCGGAAUUAUUGGGCGUAAAGCGCGCGUAGGCGGUUUUUUAAGUCUGAUGUGAAAGCCCACGGCUCAACCGUGGAGGGUCAUUGGAAACUGGAAAACUUGAGUGCAGAAGAGGAAAGUGGAAUUCCAUGUGUAGCGGUGAAAUGCGCAGAGAUAUGGAGGAACACCAGUGGCGAAGGCGACUUUCUGGUCUGUAACUGACGCUGAUGUGCGAAAGCGUGGGGAUCGAACAGGAUUAGAUACCCUGGUAGUCCACGCCGUAAACGAUGAGUGCUAAGUGUUAGGGGGUUUCCGCCCCUUAGUGCUGCAGCUAACGCAUUAAGCACUCCGCCUGGGGAGUACGACCGCAAGGUUGAAACUCAAAGGAAUUGACGGGGACCCGCACAAGCGGUGGAGCAUGUGGUUUAAUUCGAAGCAACGCGAAGAACCUUACCAAAUCUUGACAUCCUUUGACAACUCUAGAGAUAGAGCCUUCCCCUUCGGGGGACAAAGUGACAGGUGGUGCAUGGUUGUCGUCAGCUCGUGUCGUGAGAUGUUGGGUUAAGUCCCGCAACGAGCGCAACCCUUAAGCUUAGUUGCCAUCAUUAAGUUGGGCACUCUAAGUUGACUGCCGGUGACAAACCGGAGGAAGGUGGGGAUGACGUCAAAUCAUCAUGCCCCUUAUGAUUUGGGCUACACACGUGCUACAAUGGACAAUACAAAGGGCAGCGAAACCGCGAGGUCAAGCAAAUCCCAUAAAGUUGUUCUCAGUUCGGAUUGUAGUCUGCAACUCGACUACAUGAAGCUGGAAUCGCUAGUAAUCGUAGAUCAGCAUGCUACGGUGAAUACGUUCCCGGGUCU
This 1372-nucleotide ribosomal RNA is filed under the name uncultured bacterium. RNAcentral's name for it is "bacterial SSU rRNA". It matches the Rfam family "Bacterial small subunit ribosomal RNA", at positions 28 to 1381 of the family's 1533-position model. The record is from RNAcentral.